RNAcentral lists this unclassified non-coding RNA (1997 nucleotides) under uncultured fungus. RNAcentral's name for it is "sequence contains 18S rRNA gene, ITS1, 5.8S rRNA gene, ITS2, 28S rRNA gene". The stretch from base 813 to 1997 matches the Rfam family "Eukaryotic large subunit ribosomal RNA", at positions 1 to 961 of the family's 3401-position model. Lineage: Eukaryota; Fungi. The record is from RNAcentral.
GGUAGGAUCAUUAACAUAAACACGCGUAGCAUAACCCAAUGCACGCGUAUGUCCUCCUAUAUAAUAUCGUCACUAGUAAUUCAUCGUGAUAGCAGCACACGAUGAACAGUUCCUAUGAGAACUAUACAUUGUCUAGUCUUGUCCUUAGUCAUUAGUAAAUGUGAUAACAACUCUUAACAACGGAUAUCUUGGUUCAUGCAUCGAUGACGAGCGCAGUGAAAUGUGAUACUUAGUGUGAAUUGCGGAAUAAAGUGAAUCAUUAAGACCUUGAACGCAUAUUGCACCCUUGAAUUUACUCGAGGGUACGUCGGUUUGAGUGCGACCUAUUAAAUAGACUAGUAAAUACAUUAGUCUGACUUGAGAUUGUAGCUAAAGGAUGCUAGAGCGCUACUUUCUUUAAAUAAUCAUAGAGGCCCAACGUAUUAGCAAUUAUUAGUAGAAGAGUCUAAGCUACUAGUAUCUAGCUGAUCUAUUAGAUCGAUGAGAGGUAACACUCGAGUCUACUCGAAUGAUCACUAGCAUAUUGUGUGUCGAUUCUCUUUGAAGCUUUUACGUGCGUCUUAUUAGAGAGGGGGAUGUGUAUCGUGACUAGGAAAGGACCCCCUAGUCAUUAGGACUACUAGAGUCCUUCUCUCGCGUAUAGGGGGAUGUGUAUCGUGAUAGUGUAAUACCGAUAUCGCUUCAUGGACUACUAGAGUCUUCUUAUACGUAUAAAGGGUUAGUGACAUUUAAAGGGGUAUGGCUCAUAAAGCUAUAUCGAGCUCCUAAUGUCAUCCCUAGAUACUAAUGUCGCCUAAUGAAUAUUAUUAAAGUCGCCUCAAAUCAGACGGGAUUACUCGCUGAAUUUAAGCAUAUAAUUAAGCGAAGGAAAAGAAACCAACGGGGAUUCCCUUAGUAACGGCGAGUGAAGUGGGAAGAGCUCACGCUUAAAAUCUCGUUAGGGUAAUGCCUAUAGAGAAUUGUAGUUUCGUAACCGGUAUUCACCGGGGAGGCUGUCGAGGCUUAAGUUCCCUGGAAAGGGACACCGUAGAAGGUGAGAGUCCUGUGAAGCCUUUAGACUAGUCUUCUCGAUCGUGUUACCGAUUUACAGAGUCGGAUUAUUUGAGAGUAUAGUCCUAAAUGGGUGGUAAAUCCCAUCUAAAGCUAGAUAUUAGCAUGAAACCGAUAGCGAACAAGUACCGUGAGGGAAAGAUGCAAAGUACUUUGGAGAGAGAGUUAAAUAGGCCUUGAAAUUGUUAAGAGGGAAGCGAUAGCGACCUUAAUAUAUUUAACGAGUAAUUCACCGAGAGAGGGCUCUCUCGUGUCGUGUAUCGAGAGCUACGUUACAACGUGGCCUCAAUGUAUGUGUGAGGGGGCUCUUUUAAGGGCAUUUUACUAGUUAAAGGGAUCAGUGUCUAUUAGAGAUGAUAGUAAAACGGUGUUGAGGUUGGAAUGAUAGGGUGCGCCUUAUCAGAAGGCUUAAUACAACGAUACGUUCGUUCUAAUUGAGGGGUUUAUGUGAACUAAUACGAGUGCCAAGCGGGGGAACCUAGUGAUAGAAGGGGCUCUCGAUUAGCUAUACAGCACGCUGUAUAGCUGAACGGGGGUUCCCUCUACUCUACUAGUCUCACUCACUCGUUACGACACGUGAUGUGCAUUAAUUUAAGGUCUUUAUCGACCCGUCUUGAAACACGGACCAAGGAGUGUAACACGAGUGCAAGUGUUAUAGCGAUAUAAACUAUUACGCGAAAUGAAAGUGAACCCUUAAUGUGGGAAAGGGGCUUCAACGGUUAAACGUUGUCCCUAGCACCAUAGACCGAUCUCGAGUAAAUUUAUUUAGACGGAUUUGAGUAAGAGCACGCUUGUUACGACCCGAAAGAUAGUGAACUAUGCUUGUGUAGGGUGAAGCCAGGCGAAAGUCUGGUGGAGGCUCGUAGAGGUGCUGACGUGCAAAUCGCUCUCAGAAUAUGAGUAUAGCGGCGAAAGACUAAUCGAACUAUCUAGUAGCUGGUUCCUUC